Molecule: unclassified non-coding RNA, 345 nt
Filed under: soil metagenome
Description: partial contains 5.8S ribosomal RNA, internal transcribed spacer 2, and large subunit ribosomal RNA
Rfam family: 5.8S ribosomal RNA (bases 1-121)
Source: RNAcentral
GAUGAAGAUCGUAGCGAAAUGCGAUAAGUAAUGCGAAUUGCAGAAUUUCCGUGAGUCAUCGAAUCUUUGAACGCACAUUGCGCCCACUGGUAUUCCGGUGGGCAUGCCUGUUCGAGCGUCAUUAUCCUCCCUCAAACCCCGGGUUUGGUGUUGGACCCAAGUUGUGUGAACAACUGGUCUCAAAGACAAUGACGGCGUCCGUGGGACCCUCGGUGCAACGAGCUUUUAGGAGCACGCAUCGAGUUGCAAGGACCUUCCGGGCCGGUCUCCUUUACCAUUUUACAAGGUUGACCUCGGAUCAGGUAGGAAUACCCGCUGAACUUAAGCAUAUCAAUAAGCGGAGGA